This 372-nucleotide ribosomal RNA is filed under the name uncultured bacterium. RNAcentral describes it as "bacterial SSU rRNA". It matches the Rfam family "Bacterial small subunit ribosomal RNA", at positions 523 to 898 of the family's 1533-position model. The record is from RNAcentral.
AUACGUAGGGGGCGAGCGUUGUCCGGAAUUAUUGGGCGUAAAGGGUUCGCAGGCGGUUACAUAAGUCAGAUGUGAAAGCCAUAGGCUUAACCUAUGUAAGCAUUUGAAACUGAGUAACUUGAGUUAAGGAGAGGAAAGUGGAAUUCCUAGUGUAGCGGUGAAAUGCGUAGAUAUUAGGAGGAAUACCAGUGGCGAAGGCGACUUUCUGGACUUAAACUGACGCUGAGGAACGAAAGCGUGGGGAGCAAACAGGAUUAGAUACCCUGGUAGUCCACGCCGUAAACGAUGAGUGCUAGGUGUUGGGGGGAAACCUUCGGUGCCGCAGCUAACGCAUUAAGCACUCCGCCUGGGGAGUACGUAUGCAAGUAUGAA